RNAcentral lists this ribosomal RNA (741 nucleotides) under Gymnothorax melatremus (dwarf moray). RNAcentral describes it as "partial 12S ribosomal RNA subunit". It matches the Rfam family "Bacterial small subunit ribosomal RNA", at positions 190 to 1353 of the family's 1533-position model. Lineage: Eukaryota; Metazoa; Chordata; Actinopteri; Anguilliformes; Muraenidae. The record is from RNAcentral.
CCGCGCCCCCGUGAGAAUGCCCUUUACCUCCGGCAGGAAAAAAGGAGCAGGCAUCAGGCACGCACUCGCAGCCCAAAACGCCUUGCUUAGCCACACCCUCAAGGGAACUCAGCAGUGAUAGACAUUAAGCUAUGAGCGAAAGCUUGACUUAGUCAGGGCUAAAAGAGCCGGUAAAACUCGUGCCAGCCACCGCGGUUAUACGAGGGGCCCAAAUUGAAGCCAUACGGCGUAAAGUGUGAUUAGAGGACACCCUAUACUAAAACCAAACACCCCUUAUGCUGUCAUACGCCAUGGGGGACACGAAGCCCAACAACGAAAGUGGUUUUAAAACCCUUGAACUCACGACAGUUAAGAUACAAACUGGGAUUAGAUACCCCAUUAUGCUUUACCUUAAACCAAGGCAAUCCAUACACAAGUUUUGCCCGCCAGGGAACUACGAGCACUAGCUUAAAACCCAAAGGACUUGGCGGUGCCUCAAACCCACCUAGAGGAGCCUGUCCUAUAACCGAUAAUCCCCGUUAAACCUCACCCUUCUUUGUCAAUUCCGCCUAUAUACCGCCGUCGCCAGUUUACCUUGUGAAAGACCCACAGUAAGCCAAAUGGGCAACACCCAACACGUCAGGUCGAGGUGUAGCGAAUAGGAGGGGAAGAGAUGGGCUACAUUUUCUGAUACAGAACAUCACGAAGAAUGUAAUGAAAAAUACAUAACCGAAGGUGGAUUUAGCAGUAAAGAUAAAAAGA